This 85-nucleotide transfer RNA is filed under the name Burkholderia pseudomallei. RNAcentral describes it as "tRNA-Arg(ccg)". Lineage: Bacteria; Pseudomonadati; Pseudomonadota; Betaproteobacteria; Burkholderiales; Burkholderiaceae. The record is from RNAcentral.
CCGCGAGUGGCGCAUUCGCGCGCCGGCGUCCCGGCCGGCGCGGCGUCGCGUCUCGCGCACGGCGUGCGAGGCGGCGCUCGCUGCC